UACAGAGGUCUCAAGCGUUGUUCGGAUUCAUUGGGCGUAAAGGGUGCGCAGGCGGUGCGCUAAGUCGGAUGUGAAAUCUCACAGCCUAUCUGUGAUUGGUCAUUCGAAACUGGCGCGCUAGAGGACUGGAGAGGAGACUGGAAUAGUCGGUGUAGCGGUGAAAUGCGUAGAGAUCGACUAGAACACCCGUGGCGAAGGCGGUUCUCUGGGACGGUACUGACGCUGAGACGCGAAAGCGUGGGGAGCGAACAGG
Molecule: ribosomal RNA, 253 nt
Filed under: uncultured bacterium
Lineage: Bacteria
Description: partial 16S ribosomal RNA
Rfam family: Bacterial small subunit ribosomal RNA
Source: RNAcentral